Long non-coding RNA from Bombus huntii, 11168 nucleotides. RefSeq lists it as uncharacterized. Lineage: Eukaryota; Metazoa; Arthropoda; Insecta; Hymenoptera; Apidae. The record is from RefSeq and is a predicted model, not a curated record. The transcript is spliced from 3 exons.
AAAGUCCCGAUCAAAUAAUUCGACGCAUACAGUCGGUGAAGAUAGUGCAAAAUUAAAUGGUUUAUUGGCGGGUAUCGAGCCGUGACGCGGACUCGAACAGCCGAGCUGAGAGCGACUGCAGGAAGACUAUAGGAAAGGCUCAUUAGCCGCAGACAGUUGACAGGACAAAGCUGGAUUGUUCUUUCCCCUCUGCUCAGCCUCAAUGUCGACCCCCGUAUCACCCUUUAGUCCGCCAUCAUCCGUCGUCCACGAAUUAAGGAUCUUGCUUCUCGGGCUCGUCAACCGGCAAUCCAAAUCAGGUAAGAGACAUUGUCAUCAUCGUUCGCUACCCAUGUUCUUCGUAUGCCUUUCUCUUCUUCUCGUUGGUAUCACAGCUCACAUCACUAAUCACGGCCUGGCCAUUCACUCUCGUUUCUCUCUCGCACUCUUCCAUCCUAUGCCAUCGGUGCGACACCAAGGCAGCCUUUCACGUACAAAAAUAGCAGCGGCUUUGUUCCGUGCUCGCACGACCUUUUUCUGUUUCUCCUUGUUCGCUCUCGUAUGCUCGUCGUCGUUGCUUGCUCUUGUUUUUCGAUUCUCUUACGUUCAUCUCUUUUUCCGCCCAGACGAUCCUUUCAGUGCGACCUCUUUAUAAGCGAUACGACAAAUGCUCUCUAUCGCGCGCUCCGAAGCGUCACCGACUGCCGAACGUUGGAUGGACGAGCGCAGGGAAGAGUAAUUCGAUUUCUCUUAGUGGUGAGUAAAAUCCGUGUAAUCAGAGCCAUUUGUAUCGAAGAGUUCAUCGUAGAGGUUUUCAAGAUCUUGAAAAUUAGUUUGACAUGUUCAGGCCAGCUGCGAUACUGUGUCGCCUGUAUUAAGUCGUUGAGCUUUCGUUGAACUUUCCAUUCGGGUGAUCAAAAAUGUUUUCAUUGCGUAUACAGCAAAUGAUAAACGAAAAUUGGUUCGAAAAGAUAACACGAAGCGUGACAAUGAAAUUUCGGUAAUAAUCUUAUUUCUUUAAAAAGAAAAAAAAGUGAAUUACUAGAAAUGCAACAAAGAAAUAUCAACAAUCAAUUGGACGUUAGCAAACGUAUUCGUAUGACAUUGAAAGAAAAAAUGUUUAAAUAAGACGAGACAAAUUUGACGACAAAUUGCAGGGAAAAAAAGGAUCGUAGAAAUUUACAUCUCAUUAGAAUUCGCACAAAUCGAUUGAUUCCUUUCGAUGUACUUAUACGCCGUUCAUUUCGUCAUUUCAAAGAGCUCACGUACUAUAUCGCGAUUAAAAUGUAAAUCCACGCGCCGACACCGGGCAGUCGAUAAAGCGUCGUGAUUUGCAUUGUCGAUAAGCGUAAAUGAACAAUCCCGAUCGUUUCCGAUUCAGUUAAAAAAUUGUUUCGCAUAAUUAGCACGCGAUUCGGGCGAACGCUAUCUGCCCGACUUCUCGGUUAAUACAAGCCCGGCAUUAGCAUGCGCUCAUUACGCAUUAAAAUCAGUCGCUAUCGCGUUGUGAUUGAAUUUCACAGGUCCGACGUGAGCGAGUUUAUUAACAGACAUGCAUGCACGAUCCAUCACUACCAUUAAAUGCAGUGUGUUGACACUAGACGUUCGAAUGUAGUUAUUUUUAUUCAGUCACGCUUUUCUCUUUGUUGCUUUAUUCUUAAUUUUAGAAUACUAAUUAACAAUAAUAUUUAUUAAAAACACGUGCACAAGAAAUCGUAUGCAAUUGACAGAAUUAACCAUUAACAGAAUUCUAAGUAGAAUAAGGUUUUCAGAAUUAUAAUAUUAAAUACAUUUCUGAGAAAUAUCUAGACAGUUUCGCGCCAGUCGAACGUUGGCCCCGUUCAAACGUUCUUUCCGGGAACAAUUCAUUUUCGAGAAACAACCGCCGUUUGAGAUCGACGUAAGCGCUUUAUUUGUCUCCCGUUCGGUGUCCUCGAAAGAGGAUCGAGGCGGAUCUGUCACGCUGAAGCGUGACAAAACGACCAGUGCCGGGAAUCGGUCGCGGUUUCAGACGUGAUGAAUAUACAAGCGGAGACAGCUUUCACGGCUAUGGAAUGUCGAACGUGGGUGAAAAAAAUGUGUUGCGCUAUUUCCGAACAUUCGUCGAUUGUUUUUUUUUUUUAAUCUCUAGUUAACAAUCGAUAUUACGUUGCUUUCUAUCACGCAUUGUAAUUUGUCGGUUUUACAUUUAUUCGACGAUAUUAGCUUUUAAUUAAUUAGAUUCAACGUUUGUCACUUGACGUUUACAUAACUGACACUUUUCAUAUUAUCGAUAAUUUCUUUUUUUAGCUUGUGGACAUCUCGGUUUGUUAAUAUGAAACAUUUUAACGUUGGAACUACCAAAGUUGUGAAAGCGAGCGAUUUCAAAUUCUUUCUCUUUAUAAUUAUAUGACUUUCUGCCUAGAUAUUAAAGGAUGUAAACAAAUCAAUCAAAUUCGUAGACAUGUCUGAACUACGAGAUAGAAAGUGAGCUCAGUGACAAAUAAUGCCUAUGGAAAAUAACUGUCAGAGAGAAAUAUGAACACUGUGUUGACUCAGAAUUAACGGAUGACUAAUUAUCUGACAAAAGAUAAGUGACUUAGUUUUUAUGUAUCAUAACACUCAUCGUAACAUGAAUGUAUCCCAUCGUAAGGGCGAUUUCACUUUUGCAAUAAGAAACAGAAGAUGUUUUGUGUGACAUCGCAUAUGCCAGGUACCGGAAUCCAUUGUGCCACUUGUUGCAGUUUUGAAAUAACUUUCUUCUCAGAGAAACAGAGGACAGCGACAUAAUUCAAUUUACCUAUAAUAAAUUGUAUUUCAAAAUAUACAAUUAAGAAAAGAAUUGUAACGCUAUCUGUCAGCGAUUAAUUUAUAUUUCAAUUUAUAACAUAUCGAAGUGAUUUCGCUUUUACCUCGUGUUAAAGUUUAUAUUCAGUCAUGGUGGAACGUUAAUAUAGAUCAUAUUAAUAACCUUCCACACGUUGAACCAUGCAUACAUUAAUAAAAUUUGCGCAAAUAUAUGCCAGCUGUGACUGCGACGAUUAAAUCGCCAACAUUAUUUAUCGAACAGGUUUCCUACGAUUAAUUACAUUAAACCGGACUUACAGGAUUAAAAUCCGCUUGAUAUAUAUGAUUCAUUAUAUUUUGUUCGUUAUGCAAUUUAAAAAAAAGAGAUAUAUUUAAGAUGUUUACCCAGUAAAUUAUUCUAGGUAAACUUUUUAACUAAGAAGCGAACGUUAUACAAAGAUCAUUUGAAGUUUUAUUAGAAGCUUGUUAAAGUAUCAAAGAAUCAAUUAAAAAAUGAAAAAUUCGAACGUUCUUUAAUUAACUACAUAACAUUCUUCUUUACAAUUAAACAUUACAUUUGCAGAACAUUUCAAUCCUAACGAGACAUAUGCGAUGAAUUAAAAAAAAAAAAAAACUCAACUAAAACACAUACAAAUGACUAAAUAACGACGAACGAAAAGCUGAAAAAAGCUGGACGUAGAUCGAAAUUAAUGGAAAGCGAACACGAGGGAGAAGAACGAUCUACAAUUCGUUUUCGUCCACAUGUGUCAGGUCGGGCCAAAACGCAACCCCGCCGUUACGGCGUCUCGGCUGAUUUAUCGAAAUUUCACGUCGAAUUGGCUCGCACGGGGAUCAACCAACAGUGAAUCGGAGGACAGACCGAAAAGAACGUGGCUGUUAGUCGGCCGGCUCAUAAUUUGUUCACGGUUAUUUUUAGGCGAGUCUCAAUCUCGUCGUGUCGACACGAAUGAGAGUGACUCCUCGGCGCCAGUGGUACUGUCAGUCGUAACAGUGACAACGAGACCGACCGUUCGAUGCUGGAACGAAAAUAAAUCCCUGGAUGGGCUACGAAGGCUCGCAAGAGCCACGGAUCCUCGUGGAAUUUCGGGACACGUGUGCAAACACUGCGGCAAAGCUCGUUAUUGUUCGCCAGCUAGAAUUCCCGCGGUUUUAUUCAUCGACGAUUUCGCGAACAACGCUGCCUUUAUCCUGUUCUGGAUUUCCCGUCAACGAACGCUUAAAACGAUUUCUGCGAAUGGCUACGGUUUAUGUGGAAAUGUACUGCUAUAUCCAGGAUAGAAAUUGUAAAUUAAUAGAAUACGAAGAAAUUUUUAUACACUUAAAUUUACGAUUUGGGAAAGUUAUCAUUUUCAUAAAUUUAACCUUGCGAUUCGGAAGUUACGGUUUUUGUAGAUUUAACUUUACAAUUUGGAUAGAACCUUCGUUGUUUAAAUUCCAAUUCUUCGAUACAAAAGGUGUACAGAGAUAACAAAUGAUACAUUGGUGAUACAAUGAUGUACAAACGAUACUGCCAAAGCUAAGAAACGAUAAAUAAUCAUAAAAACCCCAAAACAUUGAACGUAUAUUACUUUCAAGCAUUUAUGGUAUCCAACAAGUUAGGAAAAAACGACGUACAUAUAACAACAAAUACGUAUAAACAAAUAAGUAAUUCAUAUCAUCCGAACAUAUUAGAAAUUAACAAGGAAAAAGUGUGAGAUUAGUAAAUAAUUGAAAAAAUAUUAUAUUUGUAUUGUUUGCCAUACGCAUUACCCAAUUUAUGAUAUGCAUUGCUAUACUCCAUCGUUGCAUCGUUAUAUUAUGAUCUAUUUAUAAUCGGCACAGAUUUGUUUCUCGCGAUAUGACUUUCUCUUUUCGUAAAUAGAUAAAAGCCUGAUUAUAAAAAGUAAAUUUCAUAUUAUUUUCAGAGAAACUAAUACAAUCAAUUACAAUUGAAUAGAAUCAAUUAAAUAAAGAAACUAAGAUCGUUAGCGAUCCUCGUAAUUAAAUAAAGAAUUCAGGUUAAUAAUAAUUGCUACUGUCUACACAUAUAUAUCUAAUAUCUGAAAUGAUUAUUAUCUAUAGUAGUUAGCAAAUUAAUUUUCAUACCAGCUAUAGGAUCAGUAAGCUGGAAAUCAUGAAUCGCAAUUCAAUACGGCUCAUUACAUACAUGGUUACGAGUACCGAUAAUUAUUAAUUAUAAUAUUGGUAAUUAAUCUAACGCUCGUAAUUAUCGAAUUAUUUAAGCAUUUCACAAAACCCAACAUACAGACAUACGUAGAAUUAGCUUACGGACAUCAAUUAUGUUGUAUUUUAUUAAUUCUAAAAAUUAAAUGGAAAUUAUAAUUAUCGGGCUAACUUCAUUCAGUUUCCUUUUCAAGUAACAAUUCCUACAAGCCAGUUUUAUCUAAAAUUCAACCUGUUCUUUGGAUAGUUUUAGAACCCUAUAAUUUAAUCUGUUAAAAGUUUGAUAAUGGUCGAAUAUAAUCUUCCAUUGCUUCUAACAAAUCCAGGUUCCUUGCUAAAAAAAUGUUAACCUCAUUGAGAUGUCGUAAUACCAAUUCCGUUAUUUCUAUGCUAUUUGGUUAUCUAAAUCACAACAUAAGCAUUGCCUAUGAUUUGCACACAACAUCGUCAUACUUGUUACGAAUUUCCAUUUUUACCGAAUUAAAUUACAAUAGAUCCACGCUAAGUCGCGUGCAGCAGCACAAUAAACGCAGCUCCUCGUAGAUAUUUUCUAUUUCCAGGCAGAAUACGGUACAAUAUUUCGAACAAGACUAUGACACAAUGGCGUAUUCAGAUAAUAGAAACACAUUUAUAAUAGAAACUUGCAGCUGUAUUAUCUGAUUUUCGACAAUAACAUGUUUUCCUACCCUUCGUCCGCUUCACGCUCGUAAAACGCAAACAAGUGUAAACGACGCGGCACGCAGAAAGCGUGCGGUUCGAAACUCUCAUCGAACGAGAGACCAGUAGAACGUAUCGCGUGAUAACGCUUUAACCGUGCUAUUUCGCGUAACGCCGACAAAUUUCACGCGAACGCAUCCCGAUAAUCUUAUCUGCGCGACACCAGAUACGAAACGUGUCCCACGACGAGUAGAUUCCGUUAAAUUACAAGAGCACCAAAAGAAGCUACGUCUUGGGCAGAAAUAGACACGAUAUCGGUGGCGUUCGAAGCAAAAACGGGAGAAGAACAAGAAAAUACCACGCUACCAAAUGGAGAACCCUUGGAAGAGGGUCUGUCACGUGGCGCAAAAAAAGGCCAACUGUUUCUUUCAAGAUGAAUCGUUCGGGGACACUUGUCGAGUGGAAUGUCUUCUCCCGUGAGAUUAAACCUUGCCUCACGCUUCUCCUGUUCCGUCACCGCCUCGUCCGAAAUAAAGGACGGGAAGCUCGUCCCAGCUGUGAUAAUGGUCCAGCGGAUCUCGUCGAUAAAUCUCAUUGUAUUAAGGCUUGCUGCCGCUGUUGCUGUUACUGUUUCUGUUGUCAGACUGAACUUCCCUUAGCCUUCCUGCUAUACCUGUCUCUAUUCUCGAUACGUGCCUCAAGUUAUAGUUUCAGUUGACUUAAGUUGUUGCACAUGUGCGACUGUCUCAUCCCUAUGAUAUCAACGGAUUCACUGUUUCACUGCACGUAAUCUAGUUGUAAAUUGUAACAAUCAAUGACCACUUUGUACCUACGUGUACUAUUAUUUCUCACAGUAAUAUUAAACAAAUAUUCAAGCACUGAAGAUAAUGUAGGAACAUGCAGGUUAUAGACGUUGCGGACAAUAUAACAAUAAUCUCAACAGUAUUGCACCCAGUAUAUCGAUACAUUGAGAUUUCGUCGAUUGAAAAAUGAGAAAGUUAUUCAGCUAUCGAGCCUUCUGUAGCAACAAAGACGAGCAAUUUAACAAAUAAAAAGUACCAUUUAUACAACAACCAAUAAGCCCUUAGGCAUUUAAUAAGCAAAUAUUACCAUGUCUCAAUAAACACAAUGCACGAAGUUUACAUGCAAACUGCAUACGCAGUCGUAGGUAUUCUGUAUUAAUUAACUCUGCCAAUCUCUAGAUCAAAGCUUUAUCAAAGAUGGGAACAAAAUCUGUUUUCGAUAUCAACUGUUUCGAACAACAUUCUGGUUAAUUAAUUGCACAAUAGAAUUACAUUUCGCCAUUGAAGUAGGAAGAGAGAAAAAGGAAAGAAAUAUCAUAUGAAACUGAUGAAAAUACAAUCUCACCGAGGAAAACUAAUAUCUAUAUUCGCAGACCCAACAAAACAGGAAGAUAACCGGCAAAUCUAUAUUGUACGUAUAUGUUUUAUGCACACAAAGAAUUUGCCCCAUGUGGACAGGGACAAGAAAUUCUUUUUCACCAGCACUCUCCGAUUUCUUUGGGUGAAACUUUCAGUAUGUGGAAACCAUCCCAAGGGCUCCGUAAAGAUAGAAACUUCACUCCUUCUCCCUAAACAAUUGAUACACCGGAAGGGAAAUUGCCCCCUUUUAAACUUUCUUUCGAUACGAUUGACCGUGUCGAUGAUACGACGUGAAAAACUGCCGUGAACUGUCGAUAUAACAGAAAGAAAAAGAGGGGAGAAAAGGGCAAACGCGUGAAUAAAUUUGCAAGGGACGUUCGGCCGAAAUAUUACGAUAUUAAAUAUCUAUAUUUCACGAAAGACACUCGAUUUCGCGAUAGAAUUAAUUGUUCGGCAGUUUACGUUUACGUAAAACAGAUCAGCGAAAUUGGGUUAAUACUUUACAGGUAGCUUUAUGCAAAUUCCUCCGACAUAGAAAUGUCAAAGCACACCGAAUUCGAUAAUUAUCUCGAAAUUAAUUGAGUUUCUCUUGCGUAUAUACAUCGCAACAAGAUACAUUAUGAUAAUUGUUUCCCCUGUUAAUUGUAGAAUGCAAUUUCACGUUAGAAUAUAGAAACGCCGUAUCGAACGAAGAAAAUAUCACCGAGCAUCGAAUUAAAUUUUACGAAUUAAAUUGUACACAUUUAGUAAGUAUAUUCGCAGUAAAUAUAAUGACAAAAUUUGGACACUGAUAGAUACAUAAAUAGUAAGCGUCGGAGAUAGUUUUAUUUUUCGAUUUCAUUCAAUUUUUUUAAUAAUCUGCGUUAAUCGUAAUCCUGACAAUAUUAACGAUUUAGUUCCUAAUGAUAAUAUUAAUAAACGGAAAAUAUCGACCAUAGAUUUAUAUAGCCAUCGAUGUAUUUCUGUAUUCUGUUUCAAAUGACAUUUGAAGCGUAUACAAUAGAAUUAAUAUCAGAAAAUUCAACUAACCAUUUGAAUCGUUUCAAUCACGCUACAACGAAACAAAGCGCCAUUAUAAUGGAUUUAUACAGACAAUACAACAAUAAAUAGCACAUAAUGCAAUGAUGUUUUCGCACAUACUACGUGUACAAAUUUUAGGUAUUUUUCAUCGUAUUUUAUUGAGAUUAUAUAAUUUGGAAAAAGAAGUUUUACGUAUGAAAUAAUUCAUUUUAAUUAAUUAUUAAAAAUCUCUCUUGUCUCGAUGUUUUGGCACAGAAAUAAUGUCUAAAAUUAUCAUUGUUUUCUCUUUGCAGUAUAUUCAUUUCGAAAUAAAUGGUUUCGUUACCGAUCAUACAACAACCUUGAUCACCCCAUUAUGUUCAAAUUUAUGCGAUCGUGUCUUUAAAUUAACGUAAUUUCGCUGAUAAAAAUCUUUUUUGUAUGUAAUUUCACUGAAACCAUAAAUGUAAAUAUUCUUGUAAUCAUAUCAUCGGUGUUAAAUUUGGAAACUUACACGUAUCGUACUUUACACAUUGAACAAAAUUAAUGACUUUCAUCGCAUAAAAUACGAAAAUAAUAAAUAUCUUAAGAUUAUGCUACCUCCUCCCCCCACUUACAUCGCUGCGGUUACUUACUACUCAAAGAUACACAAAUAACACACUCAAAGUUUAACACAUUCACGGCUGAUAAUUUUAAUUUUCUCUUCGUAGAUUUGACUCUUAAACGUCAUCCUUUGUAUCAUUUGUUAUCACUAAUGCAGACAAAUAUAAAACAUAUAUUCAACGCAUAUAUUAUUCUUAUGUGCAAUUAUAGUUUAAUUAUCAGGAGACGCGAUAUUAUAUCAUCGGCCAACGUAAAAUCAUUUUUGUAGAAUUUCCUAUUUUAAUUGAACGCCGAAUUAAGUAACAAAUAAUGUGAAUGUUAAUAUUAAUUUCAAUCUUAAAUGUUACAGAUAUUUUACGUACAUUUAAGUGCAAAACGAUAUAGCCUGAGAUUGCUCAUAAAAUUAUUUUAAAUAAAGACGAUGUAUCGUUUAAUUAAACAAUCUUUUUUUUAAAUAUUUUAUUCAAACAGUACCCAAGCUUGUCUUCAACAAAGGUUUUAUAGCGAUCAAAAUUCGGCGUGUCGCAUUGCAAGUACGCGCUUGCGAGCGGAUCUAUUUGUGUUUCCAAAAAUCCAACGAAACCCAGCCUAGUAGUAUAUAGUCGAUGAAGUGUGAAUCGUGGACCAGCACGUCGACGCGAAUUAAUACGUUGAAAAGAUAAAACCGGCUGGACAGGCGUCAAUGACGAACGACCAGCGAACAAAUUAUCCUCGCUGGCUAGCCGGUUCAAUUCGUUCUAAACGAAGCUUCCCGCAGCGCAAACAAACACGUUAACGUCCUUUAGACUCCAAUUAAAGCGAAUUGUUUAAUUUCGCUGCGAAUUUUUCUAUUGCUUUUCCCUUGCGUUCAUUCUCAUACUGUCAUAAAACCAUCACAAUGAUGGGUGACUGAAGAUUCAAACAAUACGAGUUCCAUGAUAUACGAUGAAUGAGCUACGAGAUUGAUCAGCAAUGUGACAAGGCAUUUAGGAAAUUUAUACCGUGUAAAUUAUUCUUAGUUUGUUUAGAUACGACUUAUAAUGAUCUUCGCAUUUAGAAAUUGGUUAAUUGUGAUGCUGGAACUUCUUUCGUGUUUCUACUUAUAAAUGUACGUUAUAGUCGUAAUAUAUAAUUAUGGCAAAUUACGCGUUGUAUUUUGAAUAAUAUACCAUAUGCGAUUACAUUUGAAAAUUCUAUCUCCUUUCUAUCUUCAAGAGAUCAACGUCUGAUACAAAAGAGACAAGACACAAGACGAGUUCAAUAUUCAAUUGUAUUGCAGAAGAAGUCUAUUCCAAUAGAAUCUCACAUUACAUUCCAAAAUUCUAUCUUCCCUUCUUCCUAUCUAGUUAAAAGACCAACGUUCGAUGCAAAGAAACAUACGGCAGAAAUUCAAUAUUUUAAUACAACGAUCUCCAUAAAUCAUAAAACUACUUUCCAACCUACCCGAUUCGCGAAGACCGCUAAUCUCUUCAUCCACCGACAUUGAACGAACUUUGACUCGUAGCGUAAAGGAGACCUUCACCAGAAGCAGUAGGUACUUUUUUUUUAUCAAAGGUUACACCUUCCACUUUCUAACGACUACUUGGAAAUUGUCGGCCAAAACGCACGUCGUGUCUCGGCGCAAGAAUGUUGUUAGUCAAGCUUUUCUUCGAAAAGAAAGGGGGAGGGAGGAAAAAAAGAAAGAAAAGGGAGAAAAAGUAACGCUAUCACGAUCGAAAUAAAGUUCACGCGACAACGCCGUUAUGUGUGCCGGGCACACAAUGCGAAAGAACAGGGGUGAGUUAUCGUGACGCAUUGCCGGCUGCACCGAACGCACGUGGCCUGAUGGUUGUUAUCGGUCCUAUCGGCCAGUGGCUGUAUCAGUGCCGUCGGCACCGCUUAUCGUCGCCGACGCCUGGCGUCGAUCAGCAACCGUUAUGAAUUGUUUCCGCGCAAGUGACCGGCCAAUCGCGACGUUACCCGGCCAAACGAAAAACUAGUUCCCCUCUGCUCGUUUACGAAGCACAAAAUGCCGGAGACGGUAAAUUGCUGGCCACUGAAACGCGAACAAACGAUAUAAUGACAGGACGCGUUGUCUUGUCCAUUGAACGCUCGAACUGUGAAUCGCUGUUACACAGAGCUGUAUAAGCGCGCUUCAUUUUUCGUUUCUUUUCUUUAUUUCGUUGAUCGUUCGAGACUAUCGAUCCGCAGAUUUAACGAUCAAGGAGGGAGUUCUCGUUCGUAAUUAAUACCUCGCUGCGUGAUAUUUGAAUAACACUGGUUAUACGUCGAUAAGAAUACGUUGCAAUGCAUUAAAAUAAUAUUAUAACGUGUACUAGUAACUAUGUGGAUCUAUUCGCAAGAUUUGUUUGUUCUUUAUAUGUUUGAUGAUUUUACGUUAGAUACAUAUGUAUUUUGUAUUUUAUAAUAUUUUGCUACUUUCCAUCUAUGUUUACUUGUUUAUUAUUCAUUAUUAGAUUAGAUUACAGAUGUUUAUGCAUUUGUGCUAGAUAUGGAUGUGAGCACAAAUGCAAAGUAUAUAAAAUAUUUCAAAGAUAAGACAUAAUUUUAUUCGCGUUUAUUUUCUUUAUCAGUGUCUGUAAAAAUAUGCGUUUACACAACGUCUGCGGUGUACCCAUU